This 148-nucleotide small RNA is filed under the name Callithrix jacchus (white-tufted-ear marmoset). RNAcentral's name for it is "Metazoan signal recognition particle RNA (ENSCJAG00000076255.1)". The record is from Rfam by way of RNAcentral. Lineage: Eukaryota; Metazoa; Chordata; Mammalia; Primates; Cebidae.
UCUGGGUGUGGUGGUGUGUGCCUGUAGUCCCAGCUACUCAGGAGGCUGAGGUGGGAGGAUCACUUGAGCCCAGGAAUUGGAGGCUGCAGUGAGCUAUGAUCAUGCCACUGCACUCCAGCCUGGGCAAAGUAGUGAGAUCCCAUCUCAC